RNAcentral lists this ribosomal RNA (399 nucleotides) under uncultured bacterium. Its description in RNAcentral is "bacterial SSU rRNA". It matches the Rfam family "Bacterial small subunit ribosomal RNA", at positions 29 to 426 of the family's 1533-position model. The record is from RNAcentral.
AGCGAACGUUUGCGGCGGGCUUAACACAUGCAAGUCGAACGGGCUGUUCCUUCGGGGGCAGUCAGUGGCGCACGGGUGCGUAACACGUAGGUAAUCAACCCUCUGGUUGGGGAUAACACUUCGAAAGGAGUGCUAAUAUCCGGUAUGGCGCAGCGGUCUUCGGAUCGCGGCGAGAAAGACCCGCAAGGGUUGCCAGAGGACGAGCCUGCGGCCCAUCAGCUAGUUGGCGACGUAACGGCUCACCAAGGCGAAGACGGGUAGCUGGUCUGAGAGGAUGAUCAGCCACACUGGAACUGAGACACGGUCCAGACUCCUACGGGAGGCAGCAGUGGGGAAUAUUGCGCAAUGGGCGAAAGCCUGACGCAGCCACGCCGCGUGAGCGAUGAAGGCCUCGGUCGU